Long non-coding RNA from Hippocampus comes (tiger tail seahorse), 467 nucleotides. RefSeq lists it as uncharacterized. The record is from RefSeq and is a predicted model, not a curated record. Lineage: Eukaryota; Metazoa; Chordata; Actinopteri; Syngnathiformes; Syngnathidae. The transcript has 2 exons.
AUUAGGGGUAGGGGUGGGGGUGAAUUACAUGUACACAGCCAAUUUAUCACUUAAGAUUUUUCAGUUUGGCAUAUUUGAGUUGUAUUCGUGUGCUUGCUGCAUCUGAUAUGUAGUAACGAAAGUUAAGUUUCACAUGUGGUACCGUGUCAAGAGCAGCAGGUCAUUGUUAUGGCUUUUUCUCCUUGCAAGAGCAAACAGAUUACCGGUAUGUAUGAAAAAUGAGAUUUAACCUUUUAGCAGCAUGUCGAAUUCUCAAGAAAAUCUGUAUUUUGUCAGUCAUGUUUUAUUGUGAUGUUUUUUUUAGGAGAUAAUGUGGCCUGGAGUUUUCCUUCCAUCGUUUGCACUUUCGCAGUGGUUUGUAACUGGUAGUUUUUACACCAAGCAUCUUCUCUUCUGCAUUAAUACUAUGAGCCAGCUGUAAAUUGAUCAGAUAAUUUUAACGAUUAAAAUGAUCCAAAUCCCUGGAA